Non-coding RNA from Manis javanica (Malayan pangolin), 645 nucleotides. NCBI's taxonomy places the organism in Eukaryota, Metazoa, Chordata, Mammalia, Pholidota, Manidae. The record is from RefSeq and is a predicted model, not a curated record.
AUCUAGAUAAAGUCCAUGUUGCAGCUUUUCCCAUUUCCUCUUUCUUUUUCUUAAGGCAGCAUGACGUAGAAAGAACUUGGGCUCUGAAAUCAGAUGUAUCUGCGUCCAGAUCGCGCUCUCCCUUUAUCCAGCCGCAUGACCCUGGAGAGCUAGUUACCACUGCUGUACUCUGUGAAGCAGGCAUCAGUGGCUCACGUGCCCCAAGUGGGGGGGACGGACAUCUCAGGCUGAACCUACUACCACAUCUUACCCCGAGCCGCACUCAUUGAAUUUAUACUCCAGUCAGACCGAACCAGUCCUUCCUUGGGGAAUCAGUGAACUUCGCUGGAAAGAGAGGCGCUUCCUCUCUGCGGGCCUGUGCUCUCAGAGCCGCAGGUGCUCCUGCAUGUGGCAAAGCCUGUCUACACCGGAGAGCAUUCAGUCACCGUGCAGCAUCUGAGGGUCUAGUUCUGGUGACUGCGGCCCUGGAGCAGCCCCCAAGCCUUCCUCCCUAAGCCCAGGCCUUGGGCAUCUCUUCCUUGACUCCUAAGCUCCAUUCCCACCGCACCCCAUGCAUGCUCUGUAGGCCACAGACCUCCAACCCCCUUACACUUCAAACUAGAUCAAGAAUCAAAAGAGUUCUGCCUAAUAUAGUAAUCAUUAUUA